Molecule: ribosomal RNA, 429 nt
Filed under: Pseudomonadota bacterium
Lineage: Bacteria; Pseudomonadati; Pseudomonadota
Description: Proteobacteria bacterium partial 16S ribosomal RNA
Rfam family: Bacterial small subunit ribosomal RNA
Source: RNAcentral
UGGGGAAUAUUGGACAAUGGGCGAAAGCCUGAUCCAGCCAUGCCGCGUGUGUGAAGAAGGUCUUCGGAUUGUAAAGCACUUUAAGUUGGGAGGAAGGGCAGUAAGCGAAUACCUUGCUGUUUUGACGUUACCGACAGAAUAAGCACCGGCUAACUCUGUGCCAGCAGCCGCGGUAAUACAGAGGGUGCAAGCGUUAAUCGGAAUUACUGGGCGUAAAGCGCGCGUAGGUGGUUCGUUAAGUUGAAUGUGAAAGCCCCGGGCUCAACCUGGGAACUGCAUCCAAAACUGGCGAGCUAGAGUAGGGCAGAGGGUGGUGGAAUUUCCUGUGUAGCGGUGAAAUGCGUAGAUAUAGGAAGGAACACCAGUGGCGAAGGCGACCACCUGGGCUCAUACUGACACUGAGGUGCGAAAGCGUGGGGAGCAAACACG